CAAAAACAUAGCUAAAUGUCAUUAUAUUUGGUGUUUUCUGCUCAAUGAUAUAAUUAAAUAGCCGCAGUACCUUGACUGUGCAAAGGUAGCAUAAUCAAUUGGCUUAUAAUUGAAGUCUGGAAUGAAAGGAUAUACGGGUAAUUACUGUAUCUGAUAUUUAUACUGAAAUUGAUCUCCAAGUGCAAAUACUUGCAAUUAAUUGUUAGACGAGAAGACCCUAGAAAUUUGUGUAAAUGUUUAGUUGGGGCAACGUGGUAAGAAAUAACUUACAAUAAGGACAUGAAAAAAAUGAUUUGGAAGAAAAAAUUACUCUAGGGAUAACAGCAUAAUUUAUUAAAGUUUGUGACCUCGAUGUUGGAUUUGGGAAUUAUAGUCCAGAAGACUUUUAAUUUUGCUCUGUUCGAGCGUAGCAC
This 413-nucleotide ribosomal RNA is filed under the name Rhagada dampierana. RNAcentral describes it as "partial 16S ribosomal RNA". It matches the Rfam family "Bacterial large subunit ribosomal RNA", at positions 1808 to 2593 of the family's 2925-position model. The record is from RNAcentral. Lineage: Eukaryota; Metazoa; Mollusca; Gastropoda; Stylommatophora; Camaenidae.